This 63-nucleotide transfer RNA is filed under the name Nemertopsis tetraclitophila. RNAcentral's name for it is "tRNA-Met". The record is from RNAcentral. Lineage: Eukaryota; Metazoa; Nemertea; Enopla; Monostilifera; Emplectonematidae.
AAUAAAAUAAGCUAAAUUAAGCUGUUGGGUUCAUACCUCAAAAAUGAGAUUUCUCUUUUAUUA